This 1298-nucleotide ribosomal RNA is filed under the name uncultured bacterium. RNAcentral's name for it is "partial 16S ribosomal RNA". It matches the Rfam family "Bacterial small subunit ribosomal RNA", at positions 88 to 1399 of the family's 1533-position model. The record is from RNAcentral.
UGAGUUAGUGGCGGACGGGUGAGUAACGCGUGAGCAACCUGCCUUUCGGAGGGGGAUAACGUUUGGAAACGAACGCUAAUACCGCAUAACAUACAGAUAUCGCCUGGUAUUUGUAUCAAAGGAGCACUCCGCUGAGAGAUGGGCUCGCGUCCGAUUAGAUAGGGGGGGGGGUAAUGGCUCACCAAGUCUACGAUCGGUAGCCGGACUGAGAGGUUGAACGGCCACAUUGGGACUGAGACACGGCCCAGACUCCUACGGGAGGCAGCAGUGGGGGAUAUUGCACAAUGGGCGAAAGCCUGAUGCAGCAACGCCGCGUGAGGGAAGACGGUUUUCGGAUUGUAAACCUCUGUCCUUGGUGAAGAAUAAAUGACGGUAGCCGAGGAGGAAGCCACGGCUAACUACGUGCCAGCAGCCGCGGUAAUACGUAGGUGGCGAGCGUUGUCCGGAAUUACUGGGUGUAAAGGGAGCGCAGGCGGGGAAGCAAGUCAGCUGUGAAAUCUAUGGGCUUAACCCAUAACGUGCAGUUGAAACUGUUUUUCUUGAGUGGAGUGGAGGUAGGCGGAAUUCCGAGUGUAGCGGUGAAAUGCGUAGAGAUUCGGAGGAACACCAGUGGCGAAGGCGGCCUACUGGGCUCUAACUGACGCUGAUGCACGAAAGCGUGGGUAUCAAACAGGAUUAGAUACCCUGGUAGUCCACGCUGUAAACGAUAAAGAGGGGUUGUUUGCGAUACACCUGCAAAGUGACUGAGCGAAAGCCAUUUAAGUAAUCCACCCGGGGGAGUACGUCGGCAAACGAUGAAACUCAAAAGGAAUUGACGGGGGCCCGCACAAGCGGAGGAACAUGUGGUUUAAUUCGAUGAUACGCGAGGAACCUUACCUGGGUUUAAAUGGGGAGUGACAGGCUUGGAAACAGGCCCUUCUUCGGACACUCUUCAAGGUGCUGCAUGGUUGUCGUCAGCUCGUGCCGUGAGGUGUCGGGUUAAGUCCCAUAACGAGCGCAACCCCUAUCGAUAGUUACCAGCACGUUACGGUGGGGACUCUAUCGAGACUGCCGGUGUAAACCGUGAGGAGGGUGGGGAUGACGUCAAAUCAGCACGGCCCUUACAUCCAGGGCUACACACGUGUUACAAUGGCCGGUACAAAGGGCAGCUACACAGCGAUGUGAUGCUAAUCUCCAAAUCCGGUCUCAGUUCGGAUCGAAGUCUGCAACCCGACUUCGUGAAGCUGGAUUCGCUAGUAAUCGCGCAUCAGCCAUGGCGCGGUGAAUACGUUCCCGGGCCUUGCACACACCGCCCGUCA